CUACGGGAGGCAGCAGUGAGGAAUAUUGCACAAUGGGGGGAACCCUGAUGCAGCAACGCCGCGUGGAGGAUGACGCAUUUCGGUGUGUAAACUCCUUUUAUAUGUCAAGAAAAUGACGGUAGCAUAUGAAUAAGCGCCGGCUAACUCCGUGCCAGCAGCCGCGGUAAUACGGAGGGCGCAAGCGUUACUCGGAAUCACUGGGCGUAAAGGACGCGUAGGCGGGUUGAAAAGUUAGGUGUGAAAGCCUACAGCUUAACUGUAGAACUGCACUUGAAACUCUCAAUCUAGAGUAUGGGAGGGGCAGAUGGAAUUAGUGGUGUAGGGGUAAAAUCCGUAGAUAUCACUAGGAAUACCUAAAGCGAAGGCGAUCUCCUGGAACAUUACUGACGCUAAGGCGUGAAAGCGUGGGGAGCAAACAGGAUUAGAUACCCUCGUAGUC
This 439-nucleotide ribosomal RNA is filed under the name uncultured bacterium. Its description in RNAcentral is "partial 16S ribosomal RNA". It matches the Rfam family "Bacterial small subunit ribosomal RNA", at positions 339 to 795 of the family's 1533-position model. The record is from RNAcentral.